AGUCUUAUAUUCAAGUAUGAUAUUAAAUUGCAAAUUUAAAGGUAAAGUAGUUUUAAGGCUU
RNAcentral lists this transfer RNA (61 nucleotides) under Isshikia dimidiaticornis. RNAcentral's name for it is "tRNA-Cys". Lineage: Eukaryota; Metazoa; Arthropoda; Insecta; Coleoptera; Chrysomelidae. The record is from RNAcentral.